Tachyglossus aculeatus (Australian echidna) is the source of this 140-nucleotide small nucleolar RNA. Lineage: Eukaryota; Metazoa; Chordata; Mammalia; Monotremata; Tachyglossidae. The record is from RefSeq and is a predicted model, not a curated record.
CACCAGUCUCAGGGUCACACCUGGAGAGUUUCCAGUACUCUACCAGUCUAGACUAUAGGAGGGAGAGUCAAGCAGAAGCAUACCCAUUCCAUUCCUAGCUUGGGCAGUGGCUGGCGAGUGGAAGGCAAUCUGCUACAAGU